RNAcentral lists this ribosomal RNA (1550 nucleotides) under Klebsiella pneumoniae. Its description in RNAcentral is "bacterial SSU rRNA". It matches the Rfam family "Bacterial small subunit ribosomal RNA". The record is from RNAcentral. Lineage: Bacteria; Pseudomonadati; Pseudomonadota; Gammaproteobacteria; Enterobacterales; Enterobacteriaceae.
AAAUUGAAGAGUUUGAUCAUGGCUCAGAUUGAACGCUGGCGGCAGGCCUAACACAUGCAAGUCGAGCGGUAGCACAGAGAGCUUGCUCUCGGGUGACGAGCGGCGGACGGGUGAGUAAUGUCUGGGAAACUGCCUGAUGGAGGGGGAUAACUACUGGAAACGGUAGCUAAUACCGCAUAAUGUCGCAAGACCAAAGUGGGGGACCUUCGGGCCUCAUGCCAUCAGAUGUGCCCAGAUGGGAUUAGCUAGUAGGUGGGGUAAUGGCUCACCUAGGCGACGAUCCCUAGCUGGUCUGAGAGGAUGACCAGCCACACUGGAACUGAGACACGGUCCAGACUCCUACGGGAGGCAGCAGUGGGGAAUAUUGCACAAUGGGCGCAAGCCUGAUGCAGCCAUGCCGCGUGUGUGAAGAAGGCCUUCGGGUUGUAAAGCACUUUCAGCGGGGAGGAAGGCGUUAAGGUUAAUAACCUUGGCGAUUGACGUUACCCGCAGAAGAAGCACCGGCUAACUCCGUGCCAGCAGCCGCGGUAAUACGGAGGGUGCAAGCGUUAAUCGGAAUUACUGGGCGUAAAGCGCACGCAGGCGGUCUGUCAAGUCGGAUGUGAAAUCCCCGGGCUCAACCUGGGAACUGCAUUCGAAACUGGCAGGCUAGAGUCUUGUAGAGGGGGGUAGAAUUCCAGGUGUAGCGGUGAAAUGCGUAGAGAUCUGGAGGAAUACCGGUGGCGAAGGCGGCCCCCUGGACAAAGACUGACGCUCAGGUGCGAAAGCGUGGGGAGCAAACAGGAUUAGAUACCCUGGUAGUCCACGCCGUAAACGAUGUCGAUUUGGAGGUUGUGCCCUUGAGGCGUGGCUUCCGGAGCUAACGCGUUAAAUCGACCGCCUGGGGAGUACGGCCGCAAGGUUAAAACUCAAAUGAAUUGACGGGGGCCCGCACAAGCGGUGGAGCAUGUGGUUUAAUUCGAUGCAACGCGAAGAACCUUACCUGGUCUUGACAUCCACAGAACUUAGCAGAGAUGCUUUGGUGCCUUCGGGAACUGUGAGACAGGUGCUGCAUGGCUGUCGUCAGCUCGUGUUGUGAAAUGUUGGGUUAAGUCCCGCAACGAGCGCAACCCUUAUCCUUUGUUGCCAGCGGUUAGGCCGGGAACUCAAAGGAGACUGCCAGUGAUAAACUGGAGGAAGGUGGGGAUGACGUCAAGUCAUCAUGGCCCUUACGACCAGGGCUACACACGUGCUACAAUGGCAUAUACAAAGAGAAGCGACCUCGCGAGAGCAAGCGGACCUCAUAAAGUAUGUCGUAGUCCGGAUUGGAGUCUGCAACUCGACUCCAUGAAGUCGGAAUCGCUAGUAAUCGUAGAUCAGAAUGCUACGGUGAAUACGUUCCCGGGCCUUGUACACACCGCCCGUCACACCAUGGGAGUGGGUUGCAAAAGAAGUAGGUAGCUUAACCUUCGGGAGGGCGCUUACCACUUUGUGAUUCAUGACUGGGGUGAAGUCGUAACAAGGUAACCGUAGGGGAACCUGCGGUUGGAUCACCUCCUUACCUUAAAGAA